UACGAAGGGAGCUAGCGUUGUUCGGAAUCACUGGGCGUAAAGCGCACGUAGGCGGAUGUGUCAGUCAGGGGUGAAAUCCCGGAGCUCAACUUCGGAACUGCCUUUGCUACAGCACGUCUUGAGUCCGAUAGAGGUGGGUGGAAUUCCUAGUGUAGAGGUGAAAUUCGUAGAUAUUAGGAAGAACACCGGUGGCGAAGGCGGCCCACUGGAUCGGUACUGACGCUGAGGUGCGAAAGCGUGGGGAGCAAACAGG
This 253-nucleotide ribosomal RNA is filed under the name uncultured bacterium. RNAcentral describes it as "partial 16S ribosomal RNA". It matches the Rfam family "Bacterial small subunit ribosomal RNA", at positions 524 to 776 of the family's 1533-position model. The record is from RNAcentral.